Long non-coding RNA from Apis cerana (Asiatic honeybee), 2354 nucleotides. RefSeq lists it as uncharacterized. NCBI's taxonomy places the organism in Eukaryota, Metazoa, Arthropoda, Insecta, Hymenoptera, Apidae. The record is from RefSeq and is a predicted model, not a curated record.
UUUAUAUAUGUUUUAUCAUUGAAUAUAAAAAUGCAAGUUAAAACACUUAACUAAUCAUAAUAAUAGAUAAUAAAUAAAAGAAUAAAUAAAUAUUAGAAAUAAUGAGAUAUUUUUCAAAUUAUAUUUUGUUAAUUUUUUUAUUUCUUAAUUAAUAUAUUUUUCAUAUAAUAAAACAUUUAAAUAAUUAUUCUUUGUUGAUAAUAAAUAAUUAAUAAUCAUUAUAUAUAUAUUGAUGAAUAGAUGGGAAAUAUAUUUUGCCCAUCUAUUUAUACAUUUAUAGUUCGAGGAUGAUUCGCAUGAAGUUUGUCGCAAGCAAAAUGCUCUCGUUGACUACUAAUAUUCACAUGCGAAUACAUUUGUCUGGCAGUAAUGAUCCACCAAGUUACAUAUAGGUAAAUUUAUUUUAUUUAUCUAACCAUAAUUCUUUUUUUAAUAAUUGCACAUACUUCAUCAAAUACAUAUAUCACAUAUUAUAUUAAAUUGAAAAUACGAUUACAAAUUAUUCAAUUCGUUUUAAAAAAUAUUUUAUCUUUGUUUAACGAUUGAGUUAAAUUCUUAAGUGAGUAAUAUUAAAAAAAAAUCACGAAUACCAAUCGAGCGCACUGCUUAUAACUUGCACGUUUAAGAAUUUUGCUAUCUGAAAAUAGACUAAUUGACUUAUGUAAUUCGGUAAACGUGGUCCCUCGGUUUUCAAGUGGAAACGGAAUUGCACGAUUUUCACGACAAAACGCUCAACGCGGGAGGAUGUUUGAUCGUGCCGAUUUCACAUCCAUGGCAACGUAUAUCCUUAUUACCUAAACGCAUUCAUCAGUCCCUUCAUAAGGGAACGGAUGCAGCUAUCCAAACGAUUAGCGAACAGCAUCCGGCGCCGAUCUAAAAGACGCUGUGUGGAGUGAUCGAGGAUGGGAGGAUCCCACUCGAUGAUGAGUGACGUUUAUUGCACGUUCGUAAAUCAUUCUAGUGUGUCUGUAAAUGUGUGCAACAAGAAAGAAUCUCGUAAUUGAGGACUUAAGAAGAAUUAUAUAUAUAUGUUCUGAAAAGGAAUUCUUUAUCUAAAGAAAAUUGAUGCAGGGCGGAGUCUAAAGUUUUCGUGCUUGGAAAAGCGCAGGCGAUAUCGCUUCCUCCGGGUUACCGGCCCUCUGAUCAAUAUUAAUACGUGACACCGGCGAGAGGGCGAACUGGUAAGACUCAUACAUACAAAUAUAUAUACAUAUAUAUAUAUAUAUAUAUGUAUAUAUAUAUAUAUAUAUAUAUAUACACACAUACAUACAUACAUACAUACAUACAAAGAAUGUCAUAUGAAAAAUUAAAAGAAAAAAAAAAAAUUAGAAAGAAAUGAUAGAAAAAUUAUCAUGCAUUCAAUCGCGUUCGAAAUGAUACAUAUGAUAGAUGAAUGACGAUAGGACAUAAGCAGUAAAAAGAAAAAGAAAAAACAAAUUCACAAGAGCGAGAAAAAACGAAGAAGAUAUACAGUUGAUAAAUGUGUAUUUACCGCCAAUCUAGGAACGUCCACAGUCUUGUCGGUGCAGCCCACCUCGAUGAUUAAAAUGUGACAAUAAAAACCCUUGUUUUUUGCCCUAGCACGCUGCAUGCAACACCUUUUUAUCCUCGUAAAUCGAUCCACAACACGUCAUCGAUAAUAUCGUUCAAAGAAAAUCACGGUAACUACUGUCAACGAUUUAGAAGGGCGCGGAGAUCAGGGUGAGACACUCUAUUCACUCACGUAUACGCACUUUUCUUGUCGAUUUUAAUGCUUUAGCGAUUUUCUAAACGUAGCGAAGCCACGACUGUGUAAUUGGCACUGUCAUUACUGUCACGUAUAUUUCCGUAUAGAUUUUGUUGUUUUUCAAUGAUACGUGUACCCGUUACUAUAAAUGAAGAUUCGAAACUGUUAGCAUACAAGUAUCGGUACAAGCGGAAUCGCUACAGAACAAUUCGACCUCGUAUGUACGGUCACGAUACGUCCGUGUAUUGCAUUCUUUCAAGACUAACUGCGGGAUCACGAUUUUUAGUUCUCUAACAUCUCAAGUGGUGCCCUCCUAUGGCGAGCGUUGCCCAGAAAUAUAUAAUAUAUAGAAAGGCAUUUGUAUUUAUAUUUUUAAUAACAUUUUCAUGUAACGAUAAAAUAAAAGUAAUUUCCAUGUUACUAAAUUUUUUAAAUAAAAUUUUUAGAAUAAAUAUAUUCAAAUUAUUAAUAAAAUUUAAAUAAAAUGUUUAUACUAGAACAUAAGUAUAUAUAAUAAAAUAAUAUAACAUAAAUGGAGUUAAUUUGAUUAGUUUUGUAUUCAUAUAAUAGUAUCGAGAUUUGUUUUUAUAUGUUUGUAUUAUAUUAAAUAUAUAAAAAAAUUUUAUUU